RNAcentral lists this ribosomal RNA (807 nucleotides) under uncultured bacterium. Its description in RNAcentral is "bacterial SSU rRNA". It matches the Rfam family "Bacterial small subunit ribosomal RNA", at positions 94 to 886 of the family's 1533-position model. The record is from RNAcentral.
AGUGGCGGACGGGUGAGUAACACGUGGGUAACCUGCCCUUAAGUGGGGGAUAACAUUUGGAAACAGAUGCUAAUACCGCAUAGAUCCAAGAACCGCAUGGUUCUUGGCUGAAAGAUGGCGUAAGCUAUCGCUUUUGGAUGGACCCGCGGCGUAUUAGCUAGUUGGUGAGGUGAUGGCUCACCAAGGCGAUGAUACGUAGCCGAACUGAGAGGUUGAUCGGCCACAUUGGGACUGAGACACGGCCCAAACUCCUACGGGAGGCAGCAGUAGGGAAUCUUCCACAAUGGACGCAAGUCUGAUGGAGCAACGCCGCGUGAGUGAAGAAGGCUUUCGGGUCGUAAAACUCUGUUGUUGGAGAAGAAUGGUCGGCAGAGUAACUGUUGUCGGCGUGACGGUAUCCAACCAGAAAGCCACGGCUAACUACGUGCCAGCAGCCGCGGUAAUACGUAGGUGGCAAGCGUUAUCCGGAUUUAUUGGGCGUAAAGCGAGCGCAGGCGGUUUUUUAAGUCUGAUGUGAAAGCCCUCGGCUUAACCGAGGAAGCGCAUCGGAAACUGGGAAACUUGAGUGCAGAAGAGGACAGUGGAACUCCAUGUGUAGCGGUGAAAUGCGUAGAUAUAUGGAAGAACACCAGUGGCGAAGGCGGCUGUCUGGUCUGUAACUGACGCUGAGGCUCGAAAGCAUGGGUAGCGAACAGGAUUAGAUACCCUGGUAGUCCAUGCCGUAAACGAUGAAUGCUAGGUGUUGGAGGGUUUCCGCCCUUCAGUGCCGCAGCUAACGCAUUAAGCAUUCCGCCUGGGGAGUACGAC